ACAGGCAGCUAGCCUCCCCUGGGGCAGGCAGGGACCAGAAGAGCCCCAGAGGGUCUUGUAGAACAGAGGCGGAGGAGGAGAGGACAGAAAGGACAGGGAGACAACCAAGGAGGCCCUGAAGAGACUGAAUGGGAGAGUGUGACUGCUCCCUGCAAAUCCUCCCCAUGUCUGGACUGAGGAAAUAGCUCGAAGCACCAUCCGUCUCCUGGUGGAGCAGCAGCAGCGUCCAGAGGCUGGGGGCUGAGGCUCCUUGUUUCCAACAAGCUCCUAGGUGAUGGAUGCUGCUGGCAGGUGCACCACACUGAGUUGCAAGACUCGUCCCUCCAGGCACCCCCUUCACAGGUUCAGCAUCCUCGCUGCCAUCUCCUCACAAAUGCGGGAAGGGAGCCACCACCCCAGGCUGGGCUAACUCGCAUGAGGACACCACUAACAUUGUCUGCGUUCCAUUUACGUUAGACAGGCAGGUCUACAAUGUUUGAAGUUUACAGAUUUCUUGGAUAUAGCAGUGAAAGGUUUGUAUUUUUUAUCUGUAAGGAAAAAUUGUGAAGUUUACAUCAUUGCAAAAUAAACAGAACUGUGACUUCUGUUUCACAA
RNAcentral lists this long non-coding RNA (594 nucleotides) under Homo sapiens (human). Its description in RNAcentral is "HSALNT0291425". The record is from RNAcentral. Lineage: Eukaryota; Metazoa; Chordata; Mammalia; Primates; Hominidae.